This 560-nucleotide unclassified non-coding RNA is filed under the name Vauquelinia australis. Its description in RNAcentral is "external transcribed spacer". The record is from RNAcentral. Lineage: Eukaryota; Viridiplantae; Streptophyta; Magnoliopsida; Rosales; Rosaceae.
UUUUCAUGCCUAGCGGUGCGGCCUGGCUCCUGCCUAGUGUAUUUCACUCAAGACGCAUCCCUUUAUUGGGCUAGUUGAGACGUGUUUUACGUUGGGCGGUGCUGGGUUUAGCUAACGUCACGGCGUAUGAGUGGUAAUUGGGUUGUAUUCGACGACAGGCUCCGUGCUUUGGCAUCGAACUGUCUGCUCGUACCCCGCUUCAGUGAUGCAUCAAGAUUUGUGUCUUGUGCGCGGUUAGGUUUCUGUUUUGGCUACCUAUCGUAAAGGAAUGUUGCCUCUCGUUGUCCCUUUCAUCCUCUUGCUGGCCUUGCUGGCGGGAGGACGACAUUGUAGCGAUGCCCGUGUCCCGAACAACCCACAGUUUUUGUGAGAUUGUGUCGGUGCUCGAGUUUUUGCUUGAUAUCUCGGAUGCGGAACACUAAAGGGACGGUGGGUCUCUAUGGCCUCCUAUCGUCCAUUCGAAGCCUUGUCGCUCGAUGCGUACGACUGUUGUGCCCGUGGUGAGCGAUCGACCUUCAAGGUCGUUUGUCUCGCGCGGCGUCGGCGUCGAAGAGGAAUGC